Molecule: ribosomal RNA, 253 nt
Filed under: uncultured bacterium
Lineage: Bacteria
Description: partial 16S ribosomal RNA
Rfam family: Bacterial small subunit ribosomal RNA
Source: RNAcentral
UACGGAGGGUGCAAGCGUUAUCCGGAUUCACUGGGUUUAAAGGGUGCGUAGGCGGGCAGGUAAGUCCGUGGUGAAAUCUCUGAGCUUAACUCAGAAACUGCCAUGGAUACUAUUUGUCUUGAAUGUUGUGGAGGUAAGCGGAAUAUGUCAUGUAGCGGUGAAAUGCUUGGAUAUGACAUAGAACACCAAUUGCGAAGGCAGCUUACUACACAAAUAUUGACGCUGAGGCACGAAGGCGUGGGGAUCAAACAGG